This is a long non-coding RNA of Cannabis sativa, 1208 nucleotides long. RefSeq lists it as uncharacterized. The transcript is spliced from 2 exons. The record is from RefSeq and is a predicted model, not a curated record. Lineage: Eukaryota; Viridiplantae; Streptophyta; Magnoliopsida; Rosales; Cannabaceae.
UUUCUGGGUUUAAAGAACAUUGUGUUUAAGCUUAUAGGACCCCAAGAAUCUGUUUUGACGUGGAGAAUCGAAGCUUUAAAGCCCUGAACGAAAAUUGCCAUUGUUGGACUCCAUUUUUAAAGGUACACCGGCAACGAAGAAGACAACGAUGUUGGACCGUAUUAUUUGGUGAUUUAUGGUCGGCUUGAGGUUCUAAGCACUGUAGGAAGCUUUUCCAAUCAAAAUAAUGCGUGAAAAGCAAUUGUAUAAGAAGUUGGAGGCUCGCCGUCGCCGGAGAAGAAGGGCUCGCCGGCGUAACUCCGGCGAAGCUCCGAUCAACACCUUCUGAGGAUCUUGUUCUCAACAAAGAAACUCGGCAAGAGGUUCGAGGGAGAGAAAAGGAUAUACUUAGCAACUGAGGUAAGAAGAGUGGACAUCUGUGCACAGGGUGUAUGUUGAAACAUACAACUGUAUUAUGGGUUUGUAUUUGCAUGUUUUAUUCUAUGGUAGAUUGUUGUUUUAUGCUAAUGUUGUUAGUGUGUGAUAGUGAAAAGGCUUUUAACUGAUUGUGUGAGAAUAGCACUUAUAAGAUAGGUUUUCUGCUGCUGGUGUGAGCAUAGCACUGCAGGAUAUAUUUUUGGCUGCUUGUAUGGGUUUACUUGCAGGUUAUCCUAUCAUGGGUGAGUACAACUUGUGAUAAGGGAUUUCCCUAUUGGAUGCCGAGUGUGAGAACAGCACAAGGCAGGGCAAGUUACACUUCAUGUCUGAUCAACAUGAGUGGGAGUAGAUUAUCGUAUAUGAGGACAAUGUGCGAUAAGAUACUAUAUGUUAUGUGUGUGAGUAUCGCAUGCAUUAAGAUUACACUGUGAUAUGAUGUUGUAUUGUAUGUGAGAAUAAUGUGUGAUAUGACAUGUUGUUAUAUGUAUGCAAGUAUGGUAUGAAUUGAUUUGAUGUUGUGAUAUUGUUAUACUUAUGACUAUGUUAUCUAGUUGGGGGGUUAUGUCCUACAUAGCUCUUCUUACUGGGCGUUAGCUCACGGGUACUCUGUGUGCAGGUAAAGGCAAAACUAUACAGUGAGGGUGGCGAGCUCGAGGCAUGGAUUACAUGUUAGGGGAUUGUCACGAUGUUUUGGUUUAAAAAUAUUUCAUUUAAGAUUAUGAUUCAAAUAGUUUUUGUAAGGCUUUAUAUUUUAAAGUUAUGAAUAAAUAAAUGUUUUGUUUUAAAAAUAA